This 518-nucleotide ribosomal RNA is filed under the name uncultured bacterium. RNAcentral describes it as "bacterial SSU rRNA". It matches the Rfam family "Bacterial small subunit ribosomal RNA", at positions 19 to 518 of the family's 1533-position model. The record is from RNAcentral.
CUGGCUCAGGACGAACGCUGGCGGCGUGCCUAACACAUGCAAGUCGAACGGAGAUACUUUGAAGCUUGCGAUAAAGUAUCUUAGUGGCGGACGGGUGAGUAACGCGUGGGUAAUCUGCCCAUAAGUGGGGAACAACAGUUGGAAACGACUGCUAAUACCGCAUAAUCUGCCUUAGGGUAGGAAAGGUGGCCUCUUAACAAUGCUGCCGCUUAUGGAUGAGCCCGCGUCUGAUUAGCUAGUUGGUGGGGUAAAGGCCUACCAAGGCGACGAUCAGUAGCCGGCCUGAGAGGGUGAACGGCCACACUGGGACUGAGACACGGCCCAGACUCCUACGGGAGGCAGCAGUGGGGAAUAUUGCGCAAUGGGGGAAACCCUGACGCAGCGACGCCGCCGUGAGCGAAGAAGGCCUUAGGGUUGUAAAGCUCUGUUUUAGGGGACGAAUGUUCAUAGGAGUAAUAUGCCUGUGAAAUGACGGUACCCUAAGAGGAAGCCCCGGCUAACUACGUGCCAGCCGCCGC